UUUAAUACUUUGAAAGAGGGACGAAAGAUACCAAAGGGACAGUCAAACUCAUAAAUCUAAAACAAACUGACAACGCCAUGGCUAAACAUGAAAAAGACAAACAGAAAAACAAUAGUACACAUGACACAACAUAGAAAACUAAAGAAUAAACAACACGAACCCCACCAAAAACUAGGGAUGAUCUCAGGUGCUCCGGAAGGGUAAGCAGAUCCUGCUCCACAUGUGGCACCCGUCGUGUUGCUUAUGUGAUUACAAAUCCGGUAAAUAGUCUAAUUCGGUAGGUCACAUUCAUGAAAGGGAAGGGGAUUGUAGUAACGACGUAAGGAACAUAUCCGAUAUCAUUUGUGAAACGGUUAUUCCAUAACGGUCAACCAACUCGUGAUGGCGUCCGUAAAAUUUACGAAGGGAUGAUUUCAACUUCACCAUUUGGAACUCUUGGUUUAAUAGCUUCCUUGUGAGCA
RNAcentral lists this long non-coding RNA (461 nucleotides) under Mytilus galloprovincialis (Mediterranean mussel). The record is from RNAcentral. Lineage: Eukaryota; Metazoa; Mollusca; Bivalvia; Mytilida; Mytilidae.